Molecule: long non-coding RNA, 1682 nt
Organism: Meriones unguiculatus (Mongolian gerbil)
Lineage: Eukaryota; Metazoa; Chordata; Mammalia; Rodentia; Muridae
Exons: 3
Source: RefSeq, a predicted model, not a curated record
CCCGACCCCGACCCGUGCACGCCCCCAGGUCCCGGCCGGAACUCGGCUACUCUGGGACAGGGCAGAGGAAAGUUCUAGACUAGUCCCAACUGCAGCCGCCGUGCGGCCGUGCUCCACGAUCCCCCUCCCGCCGCCUCGCAGACAAAGCCUCCCUGCACGCCCCUUGGAGCCCUGGCCCCAGAGGGUGAAGUUCCUUCCUCCACCCUGAGGAGGAGAAAGAGCCUGAAAGCAGCGAUUCCCAAGAAAGGCGGUUGAAAGUUUCAUCUGCCCCAUUAUCCGCCAGAGCAGGAAACAGGUUUCUUUGCAAUAAACAACUCGAAGCUGUCCCCGGCCUGCAGCGGCAACAGCUAUGGCCUGGCUGGGGAUGCAUGGUAACCUUUAGACAAAAAUUUUUGUGUCCACAGAUACAGCGCAGACGUUAGCCAGUUGGAACAGUAGUGAUGAAGCAGCCAAGAAGCCCCAGCUAAAUUCAUUAUCCAUGCUUAAGACCGCAGACCCCACCCUAACAUUUGCAAGAACAGGGCUCAUCUACCCUAUGUUUAAAUUUUAUAGACUAUGCAAGCCAACAAAAUGAGUUUUAUUCUCCCCUGAGAAACAGUUCCUGAACAACCAGGAAGAGCAGCUUGGUAUAAAGGAACCUCGUGUACUUUGGAGUUCAACCCUGUGACAAAGCAGCAGAAGAAAUUUGUGAUCAGAAGGCUAAAAGCCUCAAAGAAAACUUCAAAAUCAUAGAAUGGUGUUUAAGGACAGAAAUCAUUCAGCUUACUGAGACCAUGGUCGAGUUGUCAAUCAAGCCUGUAGACUUCUUUUCUUCAACAUUGCUGUGCUAAAAUACCCUGACAGAAAAAAAUUAAGGAAGAAAGGGUUUAUUCUGACUCACAGUUCCAGAGGUACAGAGCCCAAGCAUUGUAGAAGAGCUACAGCAAUGGGCAGGGAAAGCAUGGCAACAAUAGCAGGAGCUGGCUGAUCACAUCAUCAUCCAGAGAGGGGAAGCAGAAAGAGAGAACAGAAGAUGAAGGAAGGCUAUACACUCUCAGAGCCCACCACCUAUGAUUCCCAGCAAGACCUCAUCUCCUUGAGAUUCCAGAACCUUGCCAAAUAGCUCCACCAACUGGAGAACAAAUAUUCAAACACAUGCACCUCUGGGGGACAAUUCUCACUCAAACACCACAGUGGUCUGUAAAGAAUUACUGAAUGAUGAAUAGAUUAAUGAAUAAACAAGGGAAUUAAUAAUAUUUCUCAACCCAUUAACGUGUCAUUUCAUGACCACCAAAUAUCCACAAUUAAAUGCCUACCCAAUAACUUAUACAAAGCUUCUGUUUAAUGAACUGGACUCAUAUAGUUCAGUUAACUGUGCAUUGAAACUUGUCACACUUUUCUAAAUGCUUUGACUGUCUGCUGCUGCUGCUGCUGUUGCUGCUAGAUAAAAUGAUAAAAUCCCAGUAGUCUGACUUUGUAGCCAGCCCCAAUCAGGAAAAUUACUCAUGUAUUUGAAAGCUGUUUGGCAGUAAAAGCCCUGUAUAUUAAAUUCUAAAUCUACUUAAUUAACUUCUCUAAUCUUCAUUAAAUAAAGCUCAGUCCACUUUGAUGGAAAUAUGUAAUAAAAACAACUUCUCUGGCAACUCACCCGGUAAUGUGUUAAGUCUUGAGCAGAAGAUUCUGCCUAGGGCCCUGUCCAGCAC